GAUGAACGCUGGCGGCGUGCCUAAUACAUGCAAGUCGAGCGAACGGACGAGAAGCUUGCUUCUCUGAUGUUAGCGGCGGACGGGUGAGUAACACGUGGAUAACCUACCUAUAAGACUGGGAUAACUUCGGGAAACCGGAGCUAAUACCGGAUGAUAUUUUGAACCGCAUUGUUCAAAAGUGAAAGACGGCCUUGCUGUCACUUAUAGAUGGAUCCGGGCUGCAUUAGCUAGUUGGUAAGGUAACGGCUUACCAAGGCGACGAUGCGUAGCCGACCUGAGAGGGUGAUCGGCGACACUGGAACUGGAACACGGUCCAGACGCCUACGGGAGGCAGCAGUAGGGAAUCUUCCGCAGUGGGCGAAAGCCUGACGGAGCAACGCCGCGUGAGUGAUGAAGGUCUUCGGAUCGUAAAACUCUGUUAUUAGGGAAGAACAUAUGUGUAAGUAACUGUGCACAUCUUGACGGUACCUAAUCAGAAAGCCACGGCUAACUACGUG
Molecule: ribosomal RNA, 497 nt
Filed under: uncultured bacterium
Lineage: Bacteria
Description: partial 16S ribosomal RNA
Rfam family: Bacterial small subunit ribosomal RNA
Source: RNAcentral